Molecule: long non-coding RNA, 326 nt
Organism: Mustela lutreola (European mink)
Lineage: Eukaryota; Metazoa; Chordata; Mammalia; Carnivora; Mustelidae
Exons: 3
Source: RefSeq, a predicted model, not a curated record
CCUGAGCUGCCAAGCACUUCCUGUCUCUAUGUUAAUGAACUUUAUAAGCUCGAACUUCUUAAUCUCGUGCCAAAAAAUCUCUCAUAUCACCAUAAGUGUUAAGUGAUUAUGAGAUUCUUUCGAGAAAAUUAAAGAGUUUGAGCACACUUGCUGUUACCUAUUUACAGAACCAUUAUAAUGAAACAACUUCUACGCAUUCGUGACGGGGCUCGAGCGCCCUGACCCAAUCUUAGUGGGUUCUCUGAGUUUUGAGGUGGAGGCACCAGCCGACUUGCUGCUGACGUUGGAAUCGAUGCUGCUGGUGCUGGACCUGUGGCCGCCUCGGC